AGUUAAUUAGUUUAAGUAAAACGAAAAUUUUGUAAGUUUAAGAUCUAAUUAAAUA
Molecule: transfer RNA, 55 nt
Filed under: Epeus alboguttatus
Lineage: Eukaryota; Metazoa; Arthropoda; Arachnida; Araneae; Salticidae
Description: tRNA-Thr
Source: RNAcentral